This 616-nucleotide long non-coding RNA is filed under the name Arabidopsis lyrata. RNAcentral's name for it is "long non-coding RNA (ALYR_LNC000446)". Lineage: Eukaryota; Viridiplantae; Streptophyta; Magnoliopsida; Brassicales; Brassicaceae. The record is from RNAcentral.
UUUUUUUUUCGUCAAAUCAAUUAUAUUGAUAUCAAAAAGUGUUUACAAAAUACAGAAACAUUCCAAUACAACCGUUGUAUGCAAAUAUAGGAAAUUGAAACAAUUUCGAUGAAGGAGUGGAAGUGACCCGGCUAGCUUUUGUUAGACUUUUAGGAAACAGAUGUAAUCUGUUAAGUCCCCCCCUUCACACAUUUUUUGUUGGCUAUCAGCUGCUGCUGAAACUCCAAAAUGCCUUUGGCAUUACUUUAAUUAGGAAAUGUUGAUUUAAUGUUGUUGGAGAUGAUUCUAAAUCUUGUCGCCUUCUUGAAAUCGAUAUACUUGAUGAUUCCGGCAAUGAAUUUCUAUGUUCCUUAGCAAGUCUCCAUUGUCUUCUCACGAAUUGAUGUUGCCAUAAUAAAUCGAUCCAAUGCCACCAUAAAAUAUUUGGAAGUAUUUUCAACAUAGUAAAACCAUGGUACAUCAGCGAAAGUCUAUAAGUCUCAUUAGAGUAAAUAAUGUUAAUGUAUUUGAUAAUGAGACUAACUACGUUUUCUUGAACAAGGAGAAUAAACCAAUCGCAUGAACCACCAUGUGCAUGUCUCGGUUUAUACAAUCGACCAAACGAAUAAAUAAGAUU